This is a long non-coding RNA of Oxyura jamaicensis (ruddy duck), 4705 nucleotides long. RefSeq lists it as uncharacterized. The record is from RefSeq and is a predicted model, not a curated record. Lineage: Eukaryota; Metazoa; Chordata; Aves; Anseriformes; Anatidae. The transcript is spliced from 2 exons.
UUUUUUCUUCUUUCCUCCUUCGGUUUAUGCAUUAUUAACACCCGCUUUCCUGUUUUGCUUGUAACAUUUUAUGGGCUUUUUCAAACACGUAGUCAGAUUUGCUCUGUUGCUCCUCUGUUCUUCGGGACUUAACCCCUUCUCUCCUUGAUCUUCAAAAACUUGCGGGGAGGGCUCAAACGCUUCCGACUGCUCCCAUUUAAAAUGUUAAAAACCGGAAAAGGCUUUUUCAAACUAUUCUUUUGAAGAACUCUGCAUUUUUGAAGCAUUCGAGAAAGCGGCACAGAUUGCGCAGCUUCUGGCGUUUCACCCAAGUCAGCACGCGUGAGCCUCGCUACAGCUGCAAAGGGUUCAGACCAAGGAGGGAUUUUGGCUGUGCGCUGUAAUGUCUGUGCCCGUUUUAUCCCCUCUCCGUGGCGUUACCCCAUUCUCUGGGUAUGCAGCGUUUCGUUAGCAGCCUUCCAAAGAGAAGCACCUCGUGGCUGAAGAAAUGGGGACCAGAAAAUCCAGAACAAUUCUGGGGAUGUGUUGUUUACCCCCAUCACCUUCCUCUUUAACACAGAGCUGGCGAAGUGCAUCUAGAUGGGUAGAAAUAUUACAAACACAAGCUGCAGGCUUUGUUUUGCUUUUCCAGAGCUCUAAAAUAUAGCUUUCAUUUUAGUCUCUAGUAGGAGGCAUAUAUCCAAGUGCUGUCAAAUGCUGUGGAUACAGGGAUUCAGUCGUCCCUGCAGACACAGUCCCUGUACAAAACCUUGGAGGCUAACAAGCAAGCCUAGCAUUCAUAAUUCCCCCUAGCACCCUCAUUUCUAGGUUCUGGGUUUGGGAUUGUGAAUUUGUUAUUACAGGGAGAUACUCACCGUCACCUAGAGGACCUUGCUUUGUCCGUCUGAAUCUAGCACAGAACCUGUUUGCCCAAAUACUUCAAAGCACAUCUCAGGGAAAAAAAAAAAAUGUUCCUCAAUUUUUAUUUUAUUUUUUUUCAACAACCUGUAGUGAUGUUGAUAUGAACAACACCUCCAUCUUCAACUGCUUGGCGUUGAGAAGCACUACAUUUGUUUUUUCAUGUAGCUCUUUUGUGUGAAGCCAACAUGCGCCCUCAGCGCUGGUUGGAACAACUCAAGUAAAAUCCAUUCCCUACAUCAGGGAGGCCCUGGGAUAGAUGGACGAUGGAGAGUCGCCCUAGCUCCUUGGCCACCUGAGACUAGCACAAAGCCCAUCUCUACUCUUGGCCAGCAGCAGCUGUGGGCUGUGUCGCAGCCUAGCCUGGAGUCAGUGUUUUGUAGUGUUGUAGAACAUGGCAAUAACAUGUUUUUAAAAGAUGUUUUUGUACUGUAUACUUUUUAAAGAAUGGUUUAUCUGCUUUGUAUGGAUAUUGUAUUGUACAGCUGAAUAUAUUAAAUAGGAUGGACUGGAGGUUUACUCUCAUCUCCUGGCGAUGAGGAUAUGAAUUUCAUCCUUUGAGUUGCAUUCCCCUUGAAUGUGCAAAUUUUGGGAAAAUUAGAGAAAACAGUUUACAUUCCAUUAAUAAGAAAUUACUAAUUGCUUAUAAAACAGGCAUAUCUUUAUCUGCACAGAGCUUUUCAAAGUUGCUGCUUAAUCUUUUUUCUUUUUUAAUCACUAAACAAACAUGUCUCAGCAGUCGCUGCGUGUGAAACCAAAACCUGGACGUGGACAAAAAGCAAACAUACCACACUAAUUUUCAUUAGCAUAUCCUGUCUCCUAGAACAUUUAUUUUUUCAUCUCCUUGUAAAUUGAUUUUUCACAUGCUUGUGACUUAUAUUUGAACUGUGUGUUUGUAGUAACUGACUUCUAUAAAAGCUAGGUCCUGGAUCUCCCAACAUGAAUAUAUUAUGGAGGUGACCUAGUGGGCCUAUAGUUAAGGUUGCAUGGAGUUUUCACUUAAAACAAUGUUUAAAUCCCUUAAUUAAACAUUAAAACUCGCACAAAUUCUCAAACAUGGACUGUUUCAAUAAAGAGGAUAAACUUUAAUUAUUUAGGUACUCAAUGUUCGUCUUAGUGCUGUAUUUGCAGAAUUCAGAACAACUUAAAAUUAUCCUUCCUCAGAUUUUUCCAGAGUUCCUAGUCUUCUCUGUUUCUCCAUUUUCUUAAAUCUUUUGGCUAAGCAUUUCAUUGAUGAAAUUCUUCAUAUCUUUGCUGACUUCAUAGAACCAUGAAAAUUUAAAUAAGAUAUUUUAACAAAAAGCACUUUGGCUUUAUUUAUAAUAAUGCACAAUACAGAAGAGCAUGUAGAAGAUACAAGUUGAGAACAGUAUACUGGUUGUUUGUAGCUGAUACUUAGUCCUUGACACCAGUGAUUUGGAAUCAAAAGAACAGACUGGAGAGCCUGUUAAAAAGAGAAAUACCACAUGGAAGCAAAAUCCAGAUCUGUGCCUAAAAACUAGUAGCAUCUUUUCUGUACAGAGGAUUGUUUCCAAGUCAGUCAAUUAACACCAACUGCAGUAGUCCCAAACUGGUGUAAACUCCCCUUUGCUUUCCUCUAUCUACUUAUGCCUUGAGGGCCCAGUUCAAACUUUGCUGAAACCAGUCUUUCACUGAUUUCCGUAAGUUUUGGAUUAGGCCAAUUAAUUCUUAUGUUCAUUCUGUCCAGUUGUCACCCUGCUCCUCUGCAUUAACAGAUGUUUUGAGCCUUUUUCUUUGGACAGGGUCUGUAAACCUACCGUUUCCAUCUGUGCCUGCUGUACCUGUAGUGAUCAGCGAGCACGGUUCCCAUUGUUAACACUUCGAGCCUUCUGGCUGAGCUAUAAUCACAUUCUUCAGCCUAGGCUGAAGUCCUGCUGAAAAUUGUGUAUUUGCAAACCAUUCAUAAAUGAAGAAUUCCUUUAGAACCCAGUGUUACACGUGUAAGUAGUGUCUGUAUCCAGACUCCUUAGCCUCCAGCAAUUCCUCCAACUAGCUGGAAAUACAGACAAAAUGGCCAGGAAAAAAAAAAUUCCUCAGUAGCUUACAGUGUGUGGAAAAUUUUUCAUUUAAGUCUUUUGGGCUAGGAUGUGUUUUCCCAUCAUUUCCAGCUGACUGCCACUGCGGUCACGUAUGCUUGUUAGUUCAUGUCUCCUGUCCAUUGAAACACUGCAGCAAGUACAGUCUGCAAAAAUGCUUACAUGAGAAAAUGUUGUUUCAGAGUAUGCUAGUUCUGGAAUUUUGGAAAAUGCAAGUGCUAUAGGCUGUGAUUUCACACUAAUACCAUACAAAUUAAAAGUUACUUAUUAAUUUGAAGAAUUGCUUAUUACUCCAGGCAUUGGAUGAGGAGAGAAAUUCACAGGAAGUUCUUAUCUCCAUCGUAUGAGUAGGUUCUCAAGCCCUUCCAGAGUAGGGAUUGAAAUGUUGGAAGUGAAAAGAGCUGCCCGUUGCAAGGUUCACGUGGAGAAAAGCAAGUGAAACAAGCCGCUGGGCCUGAAAUGUUCCUUUGUUGGUGAUGUUCCUGCUUUUAACUAACUCUUCUGUGUGUGAGCAGACUGAAACAACACGUGGUGGGGAAGAAUACAGGAGGGCACCUGGGAGUGGAAUAAUGCAGAGUCAAAUGUUUAUGGGUUAGGAUCUUUGGCAGUAUUACCAUUCUUAUUUUUUAUUUAUUGGGGGGGGGGGGGGGGGGGGGGGCUGUUAGGCUGUGCAAAUUAUCUCAAAUUCUCUUCAUUCUUUUUGGGGGUGGCUGUGUUUGAAAAAUAGGUCCAAGCACACUGUAUACAUUGUGGCAGUAAGGGGUUAAAGAGAUGUAAUUAUGCAUUCUUCAGUAAGUGCUCUGCAGUCAGCAGUACAGCAAGGAUUUUAUAGAAGCUUAAAAAAAAAAAAAAAAAGAAAAGAGAUGACGGAGGGAGAAUAUGGAGAGAAGGUCAGAUCCAAGGAUUCUCCUAGGGUUUUCUCAUGUUUGCUCUUCCUUUGUGGCUCAUUAUGCUCUCUCCUGGUAGAAACAGAAGAAAGCAUUAUGGCCUGUUGGUUCCUCCUACUGAUAAUGUACAUUUGAUCUUUUUGCUUUGUGGUAGUGGUAGAGGUAAAUUUAUGGAUUUAGUUCCUGAAGGAGUUCUGAGCCAUCCUAGUGCCUACCAUGGUCCUUGUAUAUUCCCCAGCUCUUUUUUAUUACAAGAAGUGCAUUGCAGCCCUGUGAACACCGAACAUUUCAACAAACACCCUUUCUCAGCUGCAGUUUACCUAUUUUGUUUGAGAGGAUUUGAAUUUUCAGCAAACCCAUCUACUGGGAAUAGUUUGUUUUGGGCUGUUUGGGCUUGAUCCUCGGCUGGAUGUGUGGAAGUUUUUGCACGCAGUAUUUCAGACCGACCUGGCUGGUAAAGGUUGUGGGUUGUUCUGGAACGGUUGCAGUAGCAAAGCAGAACAGCACUCAAAAUGGGCAGGACGCUCGGGACGCGGGUUAUCCCGCACUUCCAUCCUGGGAGCUAGCCCGAGCUCUGACUUGCUGAGUCAUUCAGUGUACCAGAUCCUUCUUUUUUAUUGAACUAAUUUGAUUUGCAGUUGGAUUUCAACAUAACAGCAAAGCCUUUCUGGGAGAUAUUUGUGUGUUCAGUAACACAGUAGUCUGAAAAACGUUUUUUUUUGCUUUCUCUCUCAUGUGAUAGAAAUUUUUUUUUCUUUUUUUUUUUUUUUUUUUUUCUUGCGUACUUUCUCUGUUUAAUUUUUAUGGGAAAGAACUGCAAACAAUUAAGUGAGUAGGAUUUCCCUUGCCUCAUUCUUUCCUGGA